RNAcentral lists this ribosomal RNA (522 nucleotides) under Escherichia coli. Its description in RNAcentral is "partial 16S ribosomal RNA". It matches the Rfam family "Bacterial small subunit ribosomal RNA", at positions 1 to 512 of the family's 1533-position model. The record is from RNAcentral. RNAcentral also lists the same sequence under 1 other name. Lineage: Bacteria; Pseudomonadati; Pseudomonadota; Gammaproteobacteria; Enterobacterales; Enterobacteriaceae.
AAAUUGAAGAGUUUGAUCAUGGCUCAGAUUGAACGCUGGCGGCAGGCCUAACACAUGCAAGUCGAACGGUAACAGGAAACAGCUUGCUGUUUCGCUGACGAGUGGCGGACGGGUGAGUAAUGUCUGGGAAACUGCCUGAUGGAGGGGGAUAACUACUGGAAACGGUAGCUAAUACCGCAUAAUGUCGCAAGACUAAAGAGGGGGACCUUCGGGCCUCUUGCCAUCGGAUGUGCCCAGAUGGGAUUAGCUAGUAGGUGGGGUAACGGCUCACCUAGGCGACGAUCCCUAGCUGGUCUGAGAGGAUGACCAGCCACACUGGAACUGAGACACGGUCCAGACUCCUACGGGAGGCAGCAGUGGGGAAUAUUGCACAAUGGGCGCAAGCCUGAUGCAGCCAUGCCGCGUGUAUGAAGAAGGCCUUCGGGUUGUAAAGUACUUUCAGCGGGGAGGAAGGGAGUAAAGUUAAUACCUUUACUCAUUGACGUUACCCGCAGAAGAAGCACCGGCUAACUCCGUGCCAGC